CGCUGGCGGCAUGCCUUACACAUGCAAGUCGAACGGCAGCGCGGGGCAACCUGGCGGCGAGUGGCGAACGGGUGAGUAAUAUAUCGGAACGUACCCUGGAGUGGGGGAUAACGUAGCGAAAGUUACGCUAAUACCACAUACGAUCUAAGGAUGAAAGCAGGGGACCGCAAGGCCUUGUGCUCCUGGAGCGGCCGAUAUCUGAUUAGCUAGUUGGUAGGGUAAAAGCCUACCAAGGCAUCGAUCAGUAGCUGGUCUGAGAGGACGACCAGCCACACUGGAACUGAGACACGGUCCAGACUCCUACGGGAGGCAGCAGUGGGGAAUUUUGGACAAUGGGCGCAAGCCUGAUCCAGCAAUGCCGCGUGAGUGAAGAAGGCCUUCGGGUUGUAAAGCUCUUUUGUCAGGGAAGAAACGGUGGAGGCUAAUAUCCUUUGCUAAUGACGGUACCUGAAGAAUAAGCACCGGCU
RNAcentral lists this ribosomal RNA (467 nucleotides) under uncultured bacterium. RNAcentral's name for it is "bacterial SSU rRNA". It matches the Rfam family "Bacterial small subunit ribosomal RNA", at positions 34 to 498 of the family's 1533-position model. The record is from RNAcentral.